CCCUUAGAUGUCCUGGGCCGCACGCGCGCUACACUGAUGCAUGCAACGAGUUUCACUUUUCCUGGGUCGAGAGGCCCGGGUAAUCUGUUGAACGUGCAUCGUGAUAGGGAUAGAUCAUUGCAAUUAUUGAUCUUGAACGAGGAAUUCCUAGUAAACGCGAGUCAUCAGCUCGCAUUGAUUACGUCCCUGCCCUUUGUACACAUCGCCCGUCGCACCUACCGAUUGAAUGUUUCGGUGAAGAUUCCGGACCGAGCGAUGAUCGCUUUACGGCGGUCGCCAUUUGGGAAGUUAUCUAAACCUCAACAUUUAGAGGAAGGUGAAGUCGUAACA
Molecule: ribosomal RNA, 330 nt
Filed under: uncultured eukaryote
Lineage: Eukaryota
Description: partial 18S ribosomal RNA
Rfam family: Eukaryotic small subunit ribosomal RNA
Source: RNAcentral